This is a small nucleolar RNA of Protobothrops mucrosquamatus (brown spotted pit viper), 132 nucleotides long. The record is from RefSeq and is a predicted model, not a curated record. NCBI's taxonomy places the organism in Eukaryota, Metazoa, Chordata, Lepidosauria, Squamata, Viperidae.
ACCCAAAGGGUUGAGUUCAGUUCAGGGUUUCCUCCCUGUUCUGGUAAUUAAACUUUGGGACAGCAAAUAGUUGGGAGAUGUUGGGGUAGGAAGUUUCAUUUUUCUGCCAGGCGCCUCUCUCAGCCCACAAUA